Molecule: long non-coding RNA, 1083 nt
Filed under: Monodelphis domestica (gray short-tailed opossum)
Lineage: Eukaryota; Metazoa; Chordata; Mammalia; Didelphimorphia; Didelphidae
Description: lncRNA (ENSMODG00000038615.1)
Source: RNAcentral
AUUCAGACUGUCUUGCAGAAGAACUUUGAGACUGGAGUAUGGCUAAGAAACCAUCAAAUCCAGUGAUUUAGAAAUAUAAUUUGGAGCAAUGAGGAAUGAUCCUGGGCCGCACAGCCCAGAAAGAGUCCUUACAUGGCAACUACGGUGGUUUUGGAAGACUAUUUUACAAUACCUCCUCUUUCUCUCUUAUUAACCUGUUUUCCAGAGCACUCAUUUCGUCUUCAAAUCCAAAUGAUCUAUACUCCCUCUUUCUGUUGUCUGCCCUCCUCCCACUUGGGGUUAGUUAACAGAUUUGGGAAUUUGGGGCCAGUAGAUAUCUCCUAAAUGAUUUCGUUCACUCCCCUUCAUUUUAUAGAAGAGGAAUCCAUGUCCAAAGAAGGAGUGGGACAUACUUAAAUUCGGCUUAGUGGAGAAUUCCUACGGACAGAUUCUAGUAUAGUUUCCACACUUGAGAAGUUAUCUCACAUUCCCAUCUCUGGGGCCCCUGCCUGGGCCCUGGCCAUAGCCUGUCAUUGGUCCCAGAUCCUCAUGACUUCAGGAAACAAUCUGGGAGGGCUUAGUUUGGAUAGGUUGAAGGAGCCCUGCUGCUACAUGAUUGAUAUACUGGAGCCUUCAAAGCAGGGGGCUCUUAUGGAACUCUUUCCCCUCCAUGACCCACAAACUUCCAUCCCCUUUUAGUUGGGCUUGUCCUUCUACUGGUGUAUGCGUGCGUGUGUGUGCUGGUUAUUCAUGGAGUUCAUGUGGCAAUGCAGUGAUCCAAACAACUUGGAGGAAUCUACUGGAAAAACCACUGUCCACAUUCAGAGGAAACACUGUGGGAGUAAAAACACAGAAGAAACACAACCACUUUGUUACAUGGAUCGAAGGGAUAUGACUGGAGAUGCAGACUCUAAAUGAACAUUCCAGUGCAAACACCAACAACAUGGAAACAGGUUCUGAUCAAGGACACAUGUAAUACCCAGUGGAAUUGUGCGUUGGCUACGGGAAAGGUGGUGGUGGGGGGGGGGGAAGUAUAUGAUUCUUGUAACCAAGAAAUAAUGUUCUAAAUUGACAAAAUAAAAUAAAAUAAAUAACAAUAAACCA